Sus scrofa (pig) is the source of this 1694-nucleotide long non-coding RNA. RefSeq lists it as uncharacterized. The record is from RefSeq and is a predicted model, not a curated record. Lineage: Eukaryota; Metazoa; Chordata; Mammalia; Artiodactyla; Suidae.
CCGUGACUCACCUCGGCGCCGGGGCAGGCUGGUCCGGGCGGGCGAGGCGCAGGGCUCUCCCACACGUCGCGCCGCCAAUGGCAAGUUGGAGGGCGAGAUGCAAAUACCAGCUUAAAGGUGCCUGGCCACAGGUUAUUUUUGUGCCCUGAUACUCUCAAUAUGUUAACUAACCAGCCACCACAUAACCAUGAACCAACACGGGAAGGUCAGCUGCAUCAUGACUUCUAGAGCUCGGGGCCUCCACGGAGGAGACGCAUUCUUGGUCUCAAAGGAGCCAAGCUGGAGAGUGGCUUUUCAGCGAAACCCACCCCUAGCACCCGAGACGCGACUCAGAGUUUCCAUUCCGCUGCCUGCGGGUCAAGAGGGCCAUCCCCAGAGAGGAAACGCUGCCCCUAAACCGCGAUCCCUGAGCUGGAGGCGAGCCUCCCCGAGCUCCGGGGGCCCGGGAGGCGGCCGGAGGGACCCUGAAGCACGCACCAGACGGCCUCACGCCGGGACGCUAUCGCAACAGACAUUUGCAUGUUCUGUUCCUAGAGGUGAGUGAAGAUAUGCCCAGAGACUGCAGAGAGAACCAAGAUUUGGACAGAGCAAGAAAAACCUGGACUAGGUGGAAGGAGAACAAUAGCCAUCGGAGGAGUGACAGAGUUCCAGUGCAAACUCAGAUCCUACUCCUUGCACUCCUGGUGCACCAAUCCUUCCUGUCGAGCUGUCUGUGUCCGCCGCUAGAUUAUAAAGCCACCGAGGGCAGGGACUGGAUAUUACUCAUCUUAUCUCGGGGCCGUGGCACAUGGCACAUGGUAGUUGCACAGUAUGUUUGCUAGCUGACCAAUAAAUCCAUUUAUGAGUGUCCGUAUGUGUUCACGAAAUCAACUCCCAUGAUGGGUGCUCCUCCAGAAGCAUCUCUGUGUUGUGCUGCAAAUGCAAAGACAGCACAGGUGGAAAGAGACCUGGGAAGCCAGGCACCUCUGCCCAGACACUGGAUGUGACUCCUGGGCUUCUCCAACGGGGACACGGGCCUUAGAGGCACCACUGGAACUAGGUAAGGCCAUCGGGAAGGCGAAAGAUCAGGCGAAGCUCACGGGUGGGCCUCUGGAAGGCAUUUUGGUUCUUCGUCUCCAGAUUGUCAAUGCCCACCAGCCAAAGACCACUAGGACAUUCUCGUGGUUGAAUAAACUGGGUUUGCUGCUUGCUGCCGUGAGAAAGUGCACCAUGGAGAACCCGGGCCGUCUCAGGAAGAGCAUGCCUGGAAGGACUGCUUAUGGGACUCGGGCCAGGCUGGGUGAUUUGGGGAGGGUUUAAGGAAGCUAGGCUUUGCUCUGGUUGGAUGCUGUCAGGAGGCGUCUUGUUAAACAAAUUAUAUCCAAUAGGAGGGCAGACGAGAGUGAGGCUCAAUCAGUAAUUGGUAGGGAAGCAGCAGUCACUUAGAUCGGCCAGGCUGGAGGGUGGUGUUUGGUCAUUUCUGUGGUUUGGGCAAUGUUCAUGGUUUCGCCCGUGUUCACACGUAAUUCUGGAUUAGUCUUGUUUUUGUCUCCAUCCCCCACGGUCAGGGUGACCUCUGUGAUGCUAAUGUCCUAUGAACCUGUUUAUGUUCCACAGAACACCAGUUUUUAGCAACAUCAAGGCCUUAGGAGAGUCCCAGGCCAGCUUCCAGCUAUCAGGGGCUGCGUUUCUCUUUCUCUUUCAUCAUCUAGAAA